Molecule: ribosomal RNA, 505 nt
Filed under: uncultured bacterium
Lineage: Bacteria
Description: partial 16S ribosomal RNA
Rfam family: Bacterial small subunit ribosomal RNA
Source: RNAcentral
GACGAACGCUGGCGGCGUGCCUAAUACAUGCAAGUAGAACGCACAGUUUAUACCGUAGCUUGCUACACCAUAGACUGUGAGUUGCGAACGGGUGAGUAACGCGUAGGUAACCUGCCUGGUAGCGGGGGAUAACUAUUGGAAACGAUAGCUAAUACCGCAUAAUAUUAAUUAUUGCAUGAUAAUUAAUUGAAAGGUGCAAUUGCACCACUACCAGAUGGACCUGCGUUGUAUUAGCUAGUAGGUGAGGUAACGGCUCACCUAGGCGACGAUACAUAGCCGACCUGAGAGGGUGAUCGGCCACACUGGGACUGAGAAACGGCCCAGCCUCCUACGGGAGGCAGCAGUAGGGACUCUUCGGCAAUGGCCGAAAGUCUGACCGAGCAACGCCGCGUGAGUGAAGAAGGUUUUCGGAUCGUAAAGCUCUGUUGUAAGAGAAGAACGGGUGUGAGAGUGGAAAGUUCACCCUGUGACGGUAUCUUAACAAAAAGGGACGGCUAACUACGUG